UAGGCGAUGGAUAACAGGUUGAUAUUCCUGUACCACCUAUAAUCGUUUUAAUCGAUGGGGGGACGCAGUAGGAUAGGCGAAGCGUGCGAUUGGAUUGCACGUCUAAGCAGUAAGGCUGAGUAUUAGGCAAAUCCGGUACUCGUUAAGGCUGAGCUGUGAUGGGGAGAAGACAUUGUGUCUUCGAGUCGUUGAUUUCACACUGCCGAGAAAAGCCUCUAGAUAGAAAAUAGGUGCCCGUACCGCAAACCGACACAGGUAGUCAAGAUGAGAAUUCUAAGGUGAGCGAGCGAACUCUCGUUAAGGAACUCGGCAAAAUGACCCCGUAACUUCGGGAGAAGGGGUGCUCUUUAGGGUUAACGCCCAGAAGAGCCGCAGUGAAUAGGCCCAAGCGACUGUUUAUCAAAAACACAGGUCUCUGCUAAACCGUAAGGUGAUGUAUAGGGGCUGACGCCUGCCCGGUGCUGGAAGGUUAAGAGGAGUGGUUAGCUUCUGCGAAGCUACGAAUCGAAGCCCCAGUAAACGGCGGCCGUAACUAUAACGGUCCUAAGGUAGCGAAAUUCCUUGUCGGGUAAGUUCCGACCCGCACGAAAGGCGUAACGAUUUGGGCACUGUCUCAACGAGAGACUCGGUGAAAUCAUAGUACCUGUGAAGAUGCAGGUUACCCGCGACAGGACGGAAAGACCCCGUGGAGCUUUACUGUAGCCUGAUAUUGAAAUUCGGCACAGCUUGUACAGGAUAGGUAGGAGCCUUUGAAACGUGAGCGCUAGCUUACGUGGAGGCGCUGGUGGG
RNAcentral lists this ribosomal RNA (789 nucleotides) under Staphylococcus aureus. Its description in RNAcentral is "partial 23S ribosomal RNA". It matches the Rfam family "Bacterial large subunit ribosomal RNA", at positions 1412 to 2196 of the family's 2925-position model. The record is from RNAcentral. Lineage: Bacteria; Bacillati; Bacillota; Bacilli; Caryophanales; Staphylococcaceae.